This is a long non-coding RNA of Gopherus evgoodei (Goodes thornscrub tortoise), 1469 nucleotides long. RefSeq lists it as uncharacterized. Lineage: Eukaryota; Metazoa; Chordata; Testudines; Testudinidae. The record is from RefSeq and is a predicted model, not a curated record. The transcript is spliced from 2 exons.
AUCAGUUUGUGGAAAUCCUCCACUCCCUUCACUGCUACCAUUAGAAACGAUAGGUUUCUGGAACAUCAUCAUUUUACAGCGAGCCAAACAGAGGAAGAAGCAGAGGCACUGAAUAGUUCUGAGCCUGGAGAGAACGCGCAGCUGUUUCUGGAACAGAGGGGAUUUUCCCUGGGUGAGCUGGGAAGUUGAAAACAGAUGAAGUAGAGACUUUAGUCUUCACUUCUGUCCCGUGGCCAAUAUGAUAGCAGGCAACGAACCAGGAGAAUAAGUCCACUGAACAGUCUCAAAGCACUUGAUAAACACUUCGCUUUACAAUAGACCCAACAGAUGAGGAAAACUGACGCACAGAGAAGUGACUUUGCCUGAGUAGGAAGAGUGCUGCCUCUUCCAGGCAGAACAGUCUCCUACCCAGGGUCUCUGCCGUGUCCAGCGCAACAGGGCCCUGAUUUUGGUUAGGAAACGACCAUAAUACAAGUCAGCUUGAAACUGAGCAGAUCUGGUAACACGAUGGAAGAGCCACUCAUCUCCAGAAGGGGCACACUAAGAUACAUUUCACCCUACACGGAGCACUGUUCGCUGCCCCAGCAUACGAGUCCUAGGAUCUGAGUUCCUCCCUCAGCUCAGCCAUUGGAUUUGCUGCACAAGUCAUCUUCUCUCCCUGUGCCUCAGUCUCCUCAUCUGUAAUACUGACUCACCUUUGUAAAGUUCUUGGAACAGUUCAGACCAAAAGAGGCAAUAAGCGCGGAGCGUUAUUAGUCUCACACCUCCGGACACGCACAAGGAUUGAAUUCAGGCAAGGGCUUGGUGAAAGUUUCAUCACUCAAACCCUCAAAAGCCACACAAAACUUUUUAGGUGCCACUACUGACACAGAUGUCAGCCCAGAGCUGGCCAGGAACCUGAGGAGGGUUUAUGCAUGGAGAUCAAAACCACAUGGGAAGUCAAAGUGUUUUCAUUAAAAGCUGCCAUUUCUGCAGCAUUUGGCUCAGAGCUUUGGCGGGCGGAGCAGAAGCAGACAGGCUGAGUCAAGCAUGCUGGGGACACAGCCCCAACCACCACGCUAACCACAGCAGGUCUCCAAACAAGAGAGGGCAGAGCCUACAAGGGUGACUGCAGAUCUUCCUCAAAGCACUGGGAAGUCCGGAUAGUGGGUGCUAGUUCCAUGUGUUAUAGGCAUGGAGGCCGACUAUUACCAGCUCAGAUCUAGAUGCAAGGUCUGUGGGUGUUUGGGUCAGGGGGAUUGGUUCUGGGCCCACAUCCAGGCAGAAGGCUGCAGUGGGAACUUCCUAGGAGCACCCGGACAGCACCUAUUUUGUGUGCAUUUGCAUGCAUCAACGUAAUGCCCGAUUCAGAGAAUGCUGUAUUGUUCCUACCCACUGUGCCUAAGUAAUUCUGUGCACUGGUGGUUCUGUAUAAACAACAGAUGUUAAAUACAUUGCAUUGUAUUAAAAAAAUGCAUAGGCAAAAACAA